Molecule: ribosomal RNA, 1017 nt
Filed under: Triticum aestivum (bread wheat)
Lineage: Eukaryota; Viridiplantae; Streptophyta; Magnoliopsida; Poales; Poaceae
Description: partial small subunit ribosomal RNA
Source: RNAcentral
CCUAGUACUCCCCUUCGUAGACGCAGGCAGUCAGCAGCCGACCAGAAGGCAGCAGACGCAGAGCAAAUCCAACAAGAACACCACUAGUGCUGCAUUCGCAGCGAGCGAGGAAGAGGAAGAGGGUGAGAGAGAGGGAUGGCGUGCCUGCACGAUCACGAGUGUGGGGAUCACAACUGCGCCGCCGAUUGGUCGCUCUACAAUCACAUCGACAUCCCCAAGGUGGUGGCUCUGAACGAAUCUGUGGCCGGGAGCGUCAAAUCGGUCUUCAAGUCGUGGGACCAGCGCCUCGAGACUUCCGGGGGUUUUCUGGAGAGCAAUGAGGGUGACCCUGAGUUACUUGUUUUCAUCCCAUUUACCUCAGAUGUGAAGAUCAAGAGCAUCGCUGUCGUUGGUGGUGCUGAUGGGACAAGCCCUUCAAGAAUGAGAGCAUUUAUCAAUAGAGAAGGUAUUGACUUUUCUGAUGCUCAAAACAUGCAGCCUGUGCAGGAAUGGGAACUGGCAGAGAAUUUGCAGGGAGUUCUUGAGUAUCAAACCAGGUAUUCAAGGUUCCAAGGUGUGGCCAACUUAACUCUGCAUUUUCCUGACAACUUUGGUGGUGAUACGACUAAGAUAUAUUACAUUGGUUUGCGUGGUGAAGCUACUCAGAACAAAAGGGAUGUUGUGGCCACAAUUGUGUAUGAAGUAAUGCCCAAUCCGUCUGAUCACAAAACAAAAUCCGAGACUGGAGGUGGUUUCUCACAUGUUGAGUAGGCAUGUCAGUGACAUGCUUCCUCGGUUGGAGAGAAACCUGACCUCUGAUGAGUUCUGUAUGAAUAAAACCAGUCCAGCUCUUAGAUUCGUAGUUUUGAGCGUAAACCAGUGUAUUUGUCGGUUGUCAAUGGCUCGAUGAUGUAACUUAACUAUGUUGCCUUGUGGUUGCCUGUGGCUCGAUGAGGUAACUUAACUAUGUCGCCCAUGUCAUCAGAGUUGCUAACAAGUUACUAUGAUUCUACCGAUCUCCAAUUGGUGGUACUUUUC